GAUCCUGGCUCAGGAUGAACGCUAGCUACAGGCUUAACACAUGCAAGUCGAGGGGCAUCAGGGUGUAGCAAUACACCGCUGGCGACCGGCGCACGGGUGAGUAACACGUAUCCAACCUGCCCUUUACUCGGGGGACAGCCUUUCGAAAGAAAGAUUAAUACCCGAUGGUAUAACAUGACCUCCUGGUUUUGUUAUUAAAGAAUUUCGGUAGAGGAUGGGGAUGCGUUCCAUUAGGCAGUUGGCGGGGUAACGGCCC
RNAcentral lists this ribosomal RNA (256 nucleotides) under uncultured bacterium. RNAcentral's name for it is "partial 16S ribosomal RNA". It matches the Rfam family "Bacterial small subunit ribosomal RNA", at positions 15 to 266 of the family's 1533-position model. The record is from RNAcentral.